CCACUACUGCACAGCAGAGCCUUGGUACUCUCUGGCCAUACAGUUGGCAGCUGCACAGCAGAGACUUUGGUACUCUCUGGCUAUACAUUGGCAGCAGAGACAUCAAAAGAAGAGGCGAAGAUUCAAUUACAACCAUUAGCAUUUGUUAUCUCCCUUCAAAGAGCUCGAAACAUGCAGGAUUUACAGAGAAAACAUGUAAAAUAAAAAUGAAGUUGUUAGCUUAUGAUAAUUACAAAGAAGUAUACUCACUGCAAUAGGCAAAGUCAUUGAGAUCAAGAGUCACCCUACCUUGCUUUAUCAAAUGAAUUAAAAAGAUUCUGGGAAAAAAAAUGAAUGAGGCAUAACGAUUGUGCUGAGUGCAUUUAACAUAAGUGGUGCCAAAUAAUUCUAAUUUGUUUCAGGCAAAAAUAGUGCAUAGUCAAAGACUGCAUAUGCAUUCAGCAUUGUUUUGGUGUGUUGAUCUGUGCCAAUGUUUGAAGCAUCUAGUUGAACCAUGACAAAGAUAUUUAAAUUAAUAAGAAAUACAAACCCAUUCAGAGGUGCAUUUGACCACAGAAAUUAUUACUAGGAAGCAUAUUGCACUAACUACUAACAUAAUAUGACAGCUAUAUGUAGAUUUAGGUGAUACCAUGCUGAGCAGAUUGCAAAAAUAUACAAAGGGAUAUGAAGUCAUCCGACAAAAUAGUCCAUUCUUCUUCUGAUCAAAGAUCUCAGAAGAUACAAAUUUUAACUUGAUCAGACUGCUAGGUUCUCAGAUACAUGCAAUAUAGAGUCUGGUACUCUAGGAUACUUAAAAAUAGGUUACAGUAGGAAAAAUCAGAAGCAGACCUACCAAAAUCUAAUUGAAGGAAGAGCCAAACAGAUCAAACCUCUAUAGCAUCAUGAAAUUGAAUUAAGAACAGCAAAUCGGUUAAACCAAGGUGAAGUAUACACCACAUGUAGAAAAUCACCACAUUUUCCCAACCCUGAAUUUUGUAGAAAAACACUUGCUUUAAUCUUUUGCCAACAUAUAUACAUAUACGCAAUAGCAAAAAGAUAAUAGCCUUACCUCACAUGCUGGUAAAAAGCAGGAGAGUCCAAGGAGAAACCAAAAUUUACCAAUGCUUAUUAAAACAAAAUUUAAAAAAAAAAAAAAAAGAAGAAAGCCAACAAUAAUAACAUGAGAAACCAGGAAAGAGAACAACUGGCCAAAAAAAAAGAGCAAACGCAGCUUGAAAAUAUUUAAAAUUUCUUGAUUUAGAUUAGAGAAUUAAGAUUUAAGCUACCUCAUAAACAUCAUCAGUAACAGGGUACCUGCAAUUCCUGAAGAAAUGGUACCAGUAAAUGCAAGAGUCUUUUAGUAUAAUGUUUAGGAAAUAUGAUCUACAAUGCUGUUCAUUAGUGCCAAGAAGGAACCAAAGUUCAGUCCUAAAGUGUAUACUGAUAAAAAAAAGUGAACAUAGAAGUGUUCACAUUGCUGGUCAUCACAGCAACGAAGUAUUAUUUCAAGCAUGGCAUUGCUUUUUAAAGAUACUAACAGCCAAAGAUAGUUUAUAUUGUCAAAUGCAAAACAACAGAUAGUCAAACUAAAAGAAAGGAGAUGAAGACACAACUGUUAUACACUUUUCGGGCCUCUAACUAAUUCAAUUUGUUACUUAAACAUUUCAAAUGCGAUAAGAUAGAAUUGGAAAGAAAAAAAAAACAUAUAGAAACACAACUGUUAUGCACGUUUCAGACACAAUUUACACACAUUCACAAGGUAAAGUAGACAUGCUACAGCUACAAGAACUGGAAAGAAAAAAAAAACAACCAACCAACCAAUACAGCAGCAAAAAAGACGAUGACGGAAAAGGGAAGAGUGUAAAAUUUGACUGUAAUAGGAAGGCUAUCAGUAAAAUGGAAAUGGAUUAUCUUUCCAAGUCUGAGAAGGCAUGUCGGACCUACAAGGCAACCAAGUAAAAUAAAUUAAUUUGUACAAUGUGCAAAAGUUCCUAUGUAACAACUAAACAAGUGAAAGCUCAUACUCUAACAAGACAUAUACUAAUGGCUGGCAUUUUGGACACAUAACAUCAGCAUAGUUCAACUUAUAACUUAUUAAAAUUAGUUGUCAGUCCCCUCUAUUCCUCCAGACAUGUUAUGAGUGGACCACAAGUGAAAGGAUUGAACAGAGUAUUACAACCUCCUUCACUAUUCAAUUAACUUGAGACAAUUUCGCUUUGUUUGUGCAACAUUUGUGCAACUACCGAAUGGUCCCCACCGUUAGCAGCCAAUCAAUGCCACUGCUUUUAUUAUCCAAGUCAGCUCUUAAAAUAGCAAUAAGUUCAUGAUCCAGUAAAUAAGCUACUUUCCUGGCAAGAACAAGAGCAAGAAGAGCAUCCUCAAACAAUGUCUGACACCUCCUUCCCCACCACAUUUUUGCCCCGUUAAAGGUUUCCAAACAUUGACAUUCCAACAACCCUUAGCUGGAGGCACCUAAGACCUAUGUGCAUGCCAAAACAUUUAUCCAUUCAACUUAGACAAAAGCAUGAAAAAGACCCCACUUCUAACAUCCUCAUCUAUGUUCUCAGUUGGAAAAAAUAUUAUUAUUUCUUUCAUAUUUCUUCUAAUAACAUCAAUGAUUGCAACCAAAUGGAAUUAGGGUAAAAUCUUUUCAACUUGCAUUUGCCAUUACCACCCAGUUCGGCUUCUCUCUUCUUCUUUCCUCUCUCCUUUUGCCUUGUAUGAAUUAAAAGUAAGUACCAAAAUUCCUUAUUGUUGAAGGACAUGUUAAACAUUCUCCCCAUAUAUUAGACCACGAGAAAAGAACUGCCAACAAUUGAUACCUAUUCUCCUUUCAAAUCAAUAGGCAAUUAUCCUUCAACUCAAACUCAGAAAUCAAAAUUUAAGAGUAACAGAUAAAACACCUGAGUAAAUAACUAACCUUGAGAAGAAACUUGCUGAGCUCGACAAAUCCUAUAGUUAAAACAUACAAAGCAAAAAACCAACCAGUUUUUGACAAAAUUAAAUCGCAAUUCCAUUAAAAUGAAUCAAAUUUGAAAGACGUAAUUUACACCAAAGCGUAACUGAAACUAAGCCAAAAAAGAACUCACAACAAAAUGCCAGUAAAAGAUUAAAUAACCUUCAAAGCUCAUGGUGCCAUUUGGGUCAAGAUCAUACAUCCUGCAGUAAUGCUGCGAACACAUCAACACAGCGUAGAAAGAAAUUCAGGUUGUCGACAGAAAAAAGCAACCGGAACAACGAAAGGCAUGCCCCUUUUUUUUACUAGUUUAGACAUGUAUAUUGGAUGUGAGACGAAGAGAGAGAGUGGAGCUAGAACGAGGAGGAGAGUGGAGAAAGAAAAUAAACCUUGAGCUUAGUGGCCGUAAUGCUUCCGGUUUUCUGUGAGUCAACUCGCUCAAACCACUGUCUCAGAAUCAUCGUGUUCUACAUUUUU
This 3412-nucleotide long non-coding RNA is filed under the name Carica papaya (papaya). RNAcentral describes it as "long non-coding RNA (CPAP_LNC015830)". The record is from RNAcentral. Lineage: Eukaryota; Viridiplantae; Streptophyta; Magnoliopsida; Brassicales; Caricaceae.